This 105-nucleotide small nucleolar RNA is filed under the name Chinchilla lanigera (long-tailed chinchilla). Lineage: Eukaryota; Metazoa; Chordata; Mammalia; Rodentia; Chinchillidae. The record is from RNAcentral.
CCCCUGAGAUGAGUUGCUGUGCUAAUACUGAUACUGGGUAGGGAGUUUUAAAACUGCCUUGCAUGUUUUGAUGAAUUCUACUUCUUGUAAAUCUCUCUGAGGGGC